AUGCAAGUCGAACGAGAGGAAGGAAAGCUUGCUUUUCUGAAUCUAGUGGCGAACGGGUGAGUAACACGUAGGUAACCUGCCCAUGUGCCCGGGAUAACUUCUGGAAACGGGUGGUAAUGCCGGAUGCUCCGACUCCUCGCAUGGGGUGUCGGGAAAGAUUUCAUCGGUAUGGGAUGGGGUCGCGUCCUAUCAGGUAGUCGGCGGGGUAACGGCCCACCGAGCCUACGACGGGUAGCCGGCCUGAGAGGGCGACCGGCCACAUUGGGACUGAGAUACGGCCCAGACUCC
This 288-nucleotide ribosomal RNA is filed under the name uncultured Actinobacteridae bacterium. RNAcentral's name for it is "partial 16S ribosomal RNA". It matches the Rfam family "Bacterial small subunit ribosomal RNA", at positions 55 to 339 of the family's 1533-position model. The record is from RNAcentral. Lineage: Bacteria; Bacillati; Actinomycetota; Actinomycetes.